UUUUAUUACAUUUAUUAAUUAUUUUUCUAUUGCGUCCAAUCUUAACUGGAAGAAAAGGGUAGGUGCCAAAACAGGAAAGAACAGAGAGACUAUUGAAUUCAAGUUUGCUGAAAUUCUAGGCAGUUCUUCCAGCUUUGCCAUCUCUUGCGGAUUUAUAGUCUAAGGGGAAAUUGACUAUGAAGAAAUCCUUUGAUGAUAAAUAAGCUUAAAAUUAUCUCUAAAAGACUGAUAAUUUCUAGCAUUGGUUUUAAAUUCUGGGGAAAAGACGCAGUCUCACACACUUUGGGGAAUGUAAUUGGUGCUUAUACGUUGUAGUGCUGUAUACAUCGGAAUCUUAAAUUCACAAUAAAUUUCACCUAGCAGUUCCACUAUUUGGAAUUUAUCCUAGAUAAAUAGCUUAAAUUUUAGGAUCGACAUUAAUUCCAUUUCUCCAGCAGUCUUGAAAUAAUUGAGCCACAGCGGUGGUAGAUGGCAAACACAGGAAAGAAUACCUCACAGUGAGGCCGAGACCCAGUCCCCUGAUCUGGAAUCAACCAGUCCCGGCGGUGAGAGCGCCAAACUUUAGCCACUAGACUACCAGGGAACCACAAAGCGCAUACUUUUUUUUUUUCCUCCUUCAAUUGCUUCAGCAGAAAUUACGCUGACAUUGACCUCUAGAAAGCUCCAUCUACCCUUCCUGGUACCACCCGCCCAUCCAAGGAAUAGUCCCAAAAGACUGUCCUCUCCCUGCUUUCUCCAAGUUGCGAGCCCACACGCGACGUGCAGAGCUCUCUCCUUUCCUUCCAGCCAGUGGCGCUCCUCGAACACCUGCCAGGUUUACAAGUCCCGGAGCGAGUUGCAGCGUCCCGGCCGCACCUCACUACCGACCUAAAGAUGCGCCUUUGCUAGGCGGCACCGCGUGGAGAGACUGUCGCUGGUCGGCGGGGCCAGAGCGCACCAGGUUUCCGGGAGGAGGCUGGAGCGGGGAGGCGCCCGGGGUGAGACCGUGGCACCCUCAACAUCAUAAAGGACUCAGAUUCCUGCAUUCCCGACAUCAUAAACGACUCAGACGGAUGCGGAAACCGAGACGGCCUGGAUGGAAAACUCUUUCAAGGAAGACCCCAGGGCCCUGAACGGAAUUCCGGAUAUUUUCUCUACAACGUACUACACCUGCCUUUUCCCAGACUUUGAUCCACACAACUAUUCUCUUUCUUGGUCUGAAUUUUGGCAAACGACAAGCAAGGCAUAGAGAUCGCUUCAACUCGCUACCCGCGGCUCCCCCAGACGUUAGGGUUUUAGGCCGCCGUUAGACUUUGGCCCUGCAGGUCAAAAUCAGCUACUCUAGGCCUGUCUUCUCGGAGGCCAGUAGCAGUACCUGGUCCUCUCCGCGCGGCUUCUCCCGCCGGGUACGCAACCCUGCACCCCUUUCCUGUGACCUGCAGCGAAGCUCGGCGGCAGACCGGGUAUUCAACUGGCCAGGAGUUCUCGAGGCGCAGGUGCGGGUGUGCAGGGACGCGCGCGGUGAGUUUGCAGUUCCUGCCGGCUCCAGCAACAUCCCGGGUCAGUCCGAACUCCGAAGGCGCCAAGGCAGGGAGGGACCGGUAGGUGAAGGGCAGCCGCCCUCUUGCGCCCUGUUUCAGUCCUCCAGUCGCUGUUGAAUGGAGUUUCCGUCUCCAGUCUCAGCCAAAGCAGGCAAGGCGGACAACCUCGGCCUGGCAACCAGUAGUUUUGGAGAAAAGCCUGGCCAUUGU
RNAcentral lists this long non-coding RNA (1730 nucleotides) under Pan troglodytes (chimpanzee). Its description in RNAcentral is "long non-coding RNA NONPTRT001275". The record is from RNAcentral. Lineage: Eukaryota; Metazoa; Chordata; Mammalia; Primates; Hominidae.